Beta vulgaris subsp. vulgaris (sugar beet) is the source of this 1125-nucleotide long non-coding RNA. RefSeq lists it as uncharacterized. Lineage: Eukaryota; Viridiplantae; Streptophyta; Magnoliopsida; Caryophyllales; Amaranthaceae. The transcript has 2 exons. The record is from RefSeq and is a predicted model, not a curated record.
CCACGGGUCUCUGCCCGGGUCAUCUCUCGGGGCUCCCCUUGAUUGAGCUGGGGGAUCCCGGCUAUGAACUGCUGUAAACUCCUCUGCAUGUUUUCGUUCAACUGUCGGGCAAUCCGCUCAAUGUCCGCCAUCGUGACCGGCAUAGGGUCAUCUCGGGGAGCAGAAUGCUCGUCGUUACGGGGGGUCGACCCCUCGUCGUCUAUGGCCAGGGAUUCGACCAAGACAUUGGGUUGGUGAGACUGGAGAGGUGUGGGUUGGCGAGACAGUGAACAUUGUAACACCCCGUAUUUUAUACCCGAUUAAUAAUUAUCUGUAUUAAUUUUGCUGAAAAUGAUUUUAGAUUUCUUUUAUUAAAAAUAUAUUUUUUUACUAACUUUGACUUUACCUUUGAAGUGGUUAAAAAAAAAAGAAAAAAACUGAUUCCUAGAUUUACUAGGUUACUAUCUAUUAAUUAGCACUAUAUUAGUAUUAUAAGGAGAGAGAAAGUAGAAAAAGAAAAGAAACAAAAGAAAAAAAAAAAAAAAGAGGAGUGGAAGAGCAAUCUAAGUACCAGACUCACGAUAUCACCAUUUCUUUCUCUUCCUUUGGCAAUUGACUUCUACUUCUUGCUUCAACCAAGGAAACCAAUCAAAACUACAAAAUUUAUUGUCAACCAUCAUCACACUUCAACUCUUGUUCGUCUCUUCAAUAGUUCUAGAUUUUUCUUGUGGGUCUUUCAAAGAGUGAAUUUUUGGGGUUUAUUUUGGACGUUUUGGGACGAACUUCGGAUCGAAAGGGCGGUUUUCGAGUAUUUCUUGUGUGAUUUUUGUCUCCCAUAUUCAAGGACUUGAAGAUAGUUAGCUCCAGUUGGGUUAAAGAGUGCGUUGGAUCCAUUUUGAUUUAGUAGGACUUUAAAAAGACUUCCGCUGUUAUUUAUUUAUAGGAUUAUGUUCUGGUUGUAAUAAUUAAUUUUACAUUCUAUUUAGUUGGUCUGUAAUAAUUAGUUAAAACUUAUUGGUUAUUGUUUUAGUUAGAACCAUUAGCCUUGCGGUUAUUAUUAAUAAUUAUCGCGGCGUAGCACCUUUGGAUUUCUGAGUUCAUUUAUAUUAAGUUGAUUUUAGAAGUAUUGGAAAUUCAGGGUUGUUA